CUGUGCCUCCGGAGCCCGGCGCACCGAGCCGGCCCUGCAGCGGGGUCUUCGCGCGCCUCGCCCGUUCUGGCGUCGCCCGCUCGCUGCGGCUCGGGGAGCGAGGCGCAUCCGGCGAGCUACCAGAGUCGCGGCGUCCCGAGCGCCCGCCGGCCCCAGGUCCACCGUGGCUGGCCUGGGAGUCCUGAGGGCGAGACGGCUGCACCUCCGGUGCCGGCUUUGAGUUCCGAGAAUGGCUGGGGACCCCGGAGCUCGGGGCGGGGUGGGGGAGAAUUGCUGCAGCCCUUGGCUGGAGUACCCGCCGGAUCGAACCCCGGGAAAGGGAAGCAAAUGCAUGGAACCUCCGCAAAACUGGACGAGAAUCCAUCUUCCACUGGAGCUGGGAAUAGACUUUGUAAAAGAUCUUAUGUAAUGGAGUCUCGGGAAGCUCGAGACGCCUCCAGCGAAGCUGCUGGUGAAUUAAUUAAGUGCUUUAAAUCGUCUAGGUAAAUAUUCCGGGGCGGGGGGACGACUGUUGGGGGCCUCCGUAGCUUGAGUUGCAUUUUAACUGCCUACAUCUUGUCUGUUUCGUCGCUCUGCCGUCUGUGCCGAGGUACUACAUUAUCGGAGGGGGCGAGUGGAAAGUGGAGGUGAAUUUUUCUCCCUUGAGUAAGGCUGAACACUGGAUUACGACAAGUCUUGACAUGAUUGGACCUGCGUAUUUUAUGCAUCAUUAAUGUCAUCUCACAUUGCCCCUUUCCCAAGCUCGUGGACAGAUGUGGUGGGUUUUCAAUUUUUCAUUUAUUGUGAACCUACUAAUAAAGAAGAUCUGGGGUAAAUAUUCUUUGUGUUAAACCAGGUAAAGAAACAGCUGAAGUCAUGCAUCCUUGUUUCUUUUAUGUAGCUGUCAGAAAAGGUUCUCAAAAUGAUUGGCUCUGUAAUGGCCCACCAUUACAGGAUGUGUUACAUGGUCAAUAAAAUUAGUGAAUUAAUAAAAAGUGAUUUGGGUCAGUGUGAAAAAUAAAACCAGAUCUUGUGGCAGGUGUGAGAUGGGAAUGGCCAGCUGACCUUUUGAUCCAAGAUGGUCUGGUUUCAGGAAGGUGGCUCUGCCAAAUGGAUCUGAAAAUCGUGACUAAUGAACCCAAAGUUAAUAGCAGGGCAGUGUAAGGAGAAAGGAAACAAAGGUGCCUUUGAAAUCCUCUGUUUGCGGAACAAAUUUAUACUUAUUAUAAAUAUUUUGGUUUAACCACUCUAAUCCUGAACGGAAAAACCAAAGUUACCAGUGGAAUAUUCCCCAGUCACUGGCAUCAGAAAACUAAACAACAUUUCUACAGUCAUAUUUCUUUGUCUUGUAGAGGGGAAGAGGCUCAUUAAUUAUAGCUGAUUAUCAGAGGGUGAUGGAGAAAACGAUCAACAGUGGAAAGGGGGAGUGAGUGGUCCCAUUUUCUGGAGGCAUUUUGCUUUUUGGGGCCACUCCUGUGGCUUAUGAGCGUUCCCAGGCCAGGGGUCUAAUUGGCGCUACAGCUGCUGGCCCACACCACAGCCAUAGCAACUGGGGAUCCCAGACGCAUCUGCAACCUAUACCACAGCUUAAGGCAACGCCAGAUCCCUGGUCCACUGAGUGAGGCCAGGGAUCAAACCUGCAUCUUCAUGGAUACUAGUCAUAUUUGUUUCCGUUGUGCCACAACGGGCACUCAUUCUGGAAGCAUUUAAGGAGCUGUUGAGAUGACUAGUUUCUAGGAAUGUUGUAGACACUAUACUUGUGGUUGUGUAGGAAGUAAGGUUAGACGAUAUCCAAGGGACCUCAUACCCUAAGGUUCUAUAAGUAUUAAGUAGUAAAAUCAUUUAAAAUAUGCUAGAUAUUCUAUUAGCAAAAUUCAAGAAAAAUAAAACACACAACAUCGUUACACAUAAUUGUUUCUUGCACCCCAACAAGGCACCAGCACUUCCCUGUGGGGUCUGCCAACAAACUGUCAUCAUUGAGCUGUGUUAAAAGGCCCUUUCCACUCUUGCAGAGGAGGUUAUCUAUAUUUCUGUUCAAAUGCAAGUAUAAAGACAUUAUUAAAAUGUAGCAGAUAACACUGUAGGAUUCAGGGGGAAAAGCCAAGGUCAGGUGCUAGAAAAAAAUACAGAUGUGAAAAAGCCACUGUAGGUUGAAAAGAGAGUAAUAAUCAUUGCCAAGAUCUUGCUUUUUUGUUUAUUUUUAAAGGCAAUAUAUUAAAGAUUAGGGAAAACCAAAGAUUGAACAUAAUCAAGGGUCAAUGCGGAGAAUCCAUGUUCCUGGGAUUCCAGAGGUAGAACCUCCUAGAAGAUAGAUAGACACAAGGUGAUAAAGUCUGACUUCUCAUGGGAAUUCAAGUCAAACUUAGACCUAGGUUGAGUGUAACACCUGAGAAAAUUCAAGCUACAUGUGAUUCUUUGCCAUAGAAUUAACUGAGAAACAAAAGAAAAAACAAGAAUAGUUCCUUGAAGCCUAUAACUAGUGGCAAAUAAGAAACCUCCAAGGGCCUGGCAGCUUAUCUGAAACCAGUGUGUGAAGUAGGAGGUUACUUAUGAAAGAGUUGUUUACUCUCUCUGCUCCAGGAUGUGCCAUAAGGUGGCCAGAAGCCAAGGCCAUGAGAUUGGGGUUCAAACACAGAAGGAUUUCCUCAUCUUCAGUCAUAGGCUAAAGAUACAAAAAAGAGGUUGGGUGGACCCCACAUGGUGACAACUAGGGUUUAAGGGAGAAAGGGGACUGAGAGCGAUUACAUAGACCCUGAAAGGCACAUACAAGUGUAAAACUUAGUGUCAUACAUGGAAUAUGAUUUAAUGCCUCCUCUUCUGAGAAGUGUCUCCAGCUUAUUCCCUUAGCCAUUCUAUGGCAUUUGGUAAGUACCUCUGCUUAUAGCAUUUAUGUUAUGUUAUUUAUGUUAUAUUUAUGUUAUAUUACAAAUGUUAUGUAUAUAUAUAUAUAUAAAAUAUAUAAAUAAAUAUGUUGUAUUAUAAACCUUUUUUUAAAUAGCUCAGAUUGAUCCCAUUAGAUUGUCCGCUCAUUGGAGGGGCCAGGACUUAUAAAAAUGCAUGCAUGGGAGUUCCCUUGUGGCACAGUGGAAACGAAUCCAAUUAGUUUCCGUGAGGAUGAGGGUUCAAUCCUUAGCCUUGCUCAGUGGGUCAGGGAUCCAGUGUUGCUGUGAGCUGUGGAUCCUGAGUUGUUGUAGCUCCAAUUUGACGCCUAGCCUGGGAACUUCCAUAU
This 3208-nucleotide long non-coding RNA is filed under the name Sus scrofa (pig). RNAcentral's name for it is "lncRNA (ENSSSCG00000056488.1)". The record is from RNAcentral. Lineage: Eukaryota; Metazoa; Chordata; Mammalia; Artiodactyla; Suidae.